CCUAGGGUGGCAGCAGUGAGGAAUAUUGGUCAAUGGGCGCAAGCCUGAACCAGCCAUCCCGCGUGCAGGAAGACGGCCCUAUGGGUUGUAAACUGCUUUUCCAGGGGACGAAUAGCUUUUACGUGUAAGGGCAUGACGGUACCUUGGGAAUAAGCAUCGGCUAACUCCGUGCCAGCAGCCGCGGUAAUACGGAGGAUGCGAGCGUUAUCCGGAUUCAUUGGGUUUAAAGGGUGCGUAGGCGGACUGAUAAGUCAGUGGUGAAAUCCUGCAGCUUAACUGUAGAACUGCCAUUGAUACUGUUAGUCUUGAGUUUGGUGAAGGUAGGCGGAAUGUGUAAUGUAGCGGUGAAAUGCUUAGAUAUUACACAGAACACCGAUUGCGUAGGCAGCUUACUGGACCGACACUGACGCUGAGGCACGAAAGCGUGGGGAUCGAACA
This 438-nucleotide ribosomal RNA is filed under the name uncultured prokaryote. Its description in RNAcentral is "bacterial SSU rRNA". It matches the Rfam family "Bacterial small subunit ribosomal RNA", at positions 338 to 774 of the family's 1533-position model. The record is from RNAcentral.